RNAcentral lists this ribosomal RNA (1015 nucleotides) under Sporobolomyces sp. RNAcentral describes it as "partial large subunit ribosomal RNA". It matches the Rfam family "Eukaryotic large subunit ribosomal RNA", at positions 72 to 1107 of the family's 3401-position model. The record is from RNAcentral. Lineage: Eukaryota; Fungi; Basidiomycota; Microbotryomycetes; Sporidiobolales; Sporidiobolaceae.
GGAUUCCCCUAGUAGCGGCGAGCGAAGCGGGAAAAGCUCAAAUUUGUAAUCUGGCGUCUUCGACGUCCGAGUUGUAAUCUCGAGAAGUGUUUUCCGUGAUAGACCGCAUACAAGUCUCUUGGAACAGAGCGUCAUAGUGGUGAGAACCCAGUACACGAUGCGGAUGCCUAUUACUUUGUGAUACACUUUCGAAGAGUCGAGUUGUUUGGGAAUGCAGCUCAAAUUGGGUGGUAAAUUCCAUCUAAAGCUAAAUAUUGGCGAGAGACCGAUAGCGAACAAGUACCGUGAGGGAAAGAUGAAAAGCACUUUGGAAAGAGAGUUAACAGUACGUGAAAUUGUUGGAAGGGAAACACAUGCAGUGAUACUUGCUAUUCGGGGCAACUCGAUUGGCAGGCCCGCAUCAGUUUUUCGGGGCGGAAAAUCGUAGAGAGAAGGUAGCAGUUUCGGCUGUGUUAUAGCUCUUUACUGGAUUCGCCCUGGGGGACUGAGGAACGCAGCGUGCUUUUAGCAUGAGCUUCGGCUUAUCCACGCUUAGGAUGCGGGUUUAUGGCUGUAUAUGACCCGUCUUGAAACACGGACCAAGGAGUCUAACAUGCUUGCGAGUAUUUGGGUGUCAAACCCGGAUGCGCAAUGAAAGUGAAUGGAGGUGGGAAGCGCAAGCUGCACCAUCGACCGAUCUGGAUUUUUUAAGAUGGAUUUGAGUAAGAGCAAGUAUGUUGGGACCCGAAAGAUGGGUGAACUAUGCCCUGAAUAGGGCGAAGCCAGAGGAAACUCUGGUGGAGGCUCGUAGCGGUUCUGACGUGCAAAUCGAUCGUCAAAUUUGGGUAUAGGGGCGAAAGACUAAUCGAACCAUCUAGUAGCUGGUUCCUGCCGAAGUUUCCCUCAGGAUAGCAGAAACUCACAUCAGUUCUAUGAGGUAAAGCGAAUGAUUAGAGGCCUUGGGGUUGAAACAACCUUAACCUAUUCUCAAACUUUAAAUAUGUAGGAAGCCCUUGCUACUUAAUGAGCGAGGGCA